UCACCUGCCUUGCCUCAAAACCUUCACCCCUGCUUAUCUCAACGGAAAAUUCCAGCAGGGAUUUCUGAACACCAGUUAAAUUCCUCAGCUCAGCAAUCAGGCCGGCGCUUGGCUGCCUGACAGGCUGGGCAGAGCAGGCGAAGCAAAGUCCAGCCCCGAGGCGUCCAGGACCCAAAGGCCAGCACAGGGGACUGUGCAGGGAGAGGCGACCACCUCAGCUUCGGACCAGGCCUCACAGUCCCGUGGGAGCAGGCAGAGGAGAUCGGCUCACCUGACCAGGAGGCCCCACGCCCAACCUGGGGCUUGAACUCACAACCCUGGUCCUGAGAGUCACAAGCUCUGCUGACAGAACCAGCCAGGUGCGCCUGUUAUUAACUCCAACAUCUGGUUUUCUCUGAAGGUUUCUUGUCCUAAGUAAAAGGAGCCUUGGGUAGAUGGUUAUCCUCCCCAGAACAUGGCGGGAUCCAGAAGACAGUUUCCGAGGGGGCAGAACUGGAAGCAGACACUGGGCCAAGAUUCCACAGCAGAGGCUCUUUAUACCGAGACCAGCAACUCUAAAAGCCCCAGUAACCACAGAAGGGCUACCAUCAAUAGUGAGAAGGCAAGUGGCGUGCCUAGACCGCACCAUCGGCGAACCAUCUGACUCCUGAUUACGGCUCAGGUCAUGAUCUUAGGGUCAUGAGAUCUGCUUAAGAUUCUCUUCCUCUUCCCCACCCUUCCCCCCUCCCUUACGCAUUUGCACUCUCGAUCUCUCUCUCUCUCUCUCUCUCUCAGAAAGGAAAAAAAAUAAAUAACAGUGAGAAAGAGGGUCUUCAAGUUUGCAGGAGAAGGCUUUGCGUCCGGUUGGACUCCACCAAAGGUUACCCACCUGCCUUGUUCCUGGAGGACUGUCAGUAAAUAUUUACUGAAUU
Molecule: long non-coding RNA, 911 nt
Organism: Mustela lutreola (European mink)
Lineage: Eukaryota; Metazoa; Chordata; Mammalia; Carnivora; Mustelidae
Exons: 3
Source: RefSeq, a predicted model, not a curated record